This is a non-coding RNA of Camellia sinensis, 256 nucleotides long. The record is from RefSeq and is a predicted model, not a curated record. NCBI's taxonomy places the organism in Eukaryota, Viridiplantae, Streptophyta, Magnoliopsida, Ericales, Theaceae.
UAUUGCUUGGAGCCAAGUGUCUCUCCAAAACCCUCUCUGCUCUCUCUCUCUCUCUCUCUCUCCCACUUCUGCCCAAACACCUGUGUUCAACUCCCUCUCUACACGUUCUCUCUCAGUGGAUUUGAGGUUUUGAUUUUCGCCCUAGUGACAGGGAUUUUCUUCGCAAGUAGACCAAUUUUUAUUUUUACGAAAUUCAACUGCACCGCCGCUGCUCAUCAUCAUCAUCAGUCUACUGCCACCAUUGAAGAGGAAGAUC